GCCUACAACAUAGCGUUAAUGCAACGGAUACCAUUAGAACUCUGCAGUUAAGCAUGCGCAGGAUAGCAUAGUACUAGGAUGGGUGACCUCUCGCAAAGUCGUAGUAAUUUAUAUGCC
Picea glauca (white spruce) is the source of this 117-nucleotide non-coding RNA. The record is from Rfam. NCBI's taxonomy places the organism in Eukaryota, Viridiplantae, Streptophyta, Pinopsida, Pinales, Pinaceae.